Molecule: non-coding RNA, 121 nt
Filed under: Protocruzia adhaerens
Lineage: Eukaryota; Ciliophora; Spirotrichea
Source: RNAcentral
AAACAAAUACAGGAUAUGGAAGUGGGAGAGAAAAAAACAACAAACAAUAAAAACACUUUCUUGUACGAUCUCCCAUCCUUCCUUUAUUUGUUUGUGCGUGUGUGUCUCCUUUCUUCCAUCG